GAGAGGUGGGAGGUUGGAAGUGAGAAACCACCUAAUCAUCACAAGCGGAUACCGCUAAAGUGAUGAAUGUGCUCAGGUAACAUAUCUGAGAGCAGUGUAGGUGAGGAAGAAUGUCCCACAUCCCACUUCCCACAUCUCACCUCUCAAUCAGUGGCGAACGGGUGAGUAACGCGUGGAUAACCUGCCCAAAAGACCGGGAUAACACCGGGAAACCGGUGCUAAUACCGGAUGAGCUCCUUGUUACGCAUGUAAUAAGGAGGAAAGGUGCGCAAGCGCCGCUUUUGGAUGGGUCCGCGUCCCAUUAGCUGGUUGGUGCGGUAACGGCGCACCAAGGCGACGAUGGGUAGCCGGCCUGAGAGGGUGAGCGGCCACACUGGGACUGAGACACGGCCCAGACUCCUACGGGAGGCAGCAGUGGGGAAUCUUCCGCAAUGGGCGAAAGCCUGACGGAGCAAUGCCGCGUGAGCGAAGAAGGCCUUCGGGUCGUAAAGCUCUGUCCA
This 500-nucleotide ribosomal RNA is filed under the name uncultured bacterium. Its description in RNAcentral is "bacterial SSU rRNA". It matches the Rfam family "Bacterial small subunit ribosomal RNA", at positions 72 to 439 of the family's 1533-position model. The record is from RNAcentral.